RNAcentral lists this ribosomal RNA (254 nucleotides) under uncultured bacterium. Its description in RNAcentral is "partial 16S ribosomal RNA". It matches the Rfam family "Bacterial small subunit ribosomal RNA", at positions 524 to 776 of the family's 1533-position model. The record is from RNAcentral.
UACGUAGGGCGCAAGCGUUAUCCGGAAUUAUUGGGCGUAAAGAGCUCGUAGGCGGUUUGUCGCGUCUGCUGUGAAAGACCGGGGCUCAACUCCGGUUCUGCAGUGGGUACGGGCAGACUAGAGUGCAGUAGGGGAGACUGGAAUUCCUGGUGUAGCGGUGAAAUGCGCAGAGUAUCAGGAGGAACACCGAUGGCGAAGGCAGGUCUCUGGGCUGUAACUGACGCUGAGGAGCGAAAGCAUGGGGAGCGAACAGG